RNAcentral lists this transfer RNA (72 nucleotides) under Loxodonta africana (African savanna elephant). It matches the Rfam family "tRNA". From Rfam's summary of the family: Transfer RNA (tRNA) molecules are approximately 80 nucleotides in length. Their secondary structure includes four short double-helical elements and three loops (D, anti-codon, and T loops). Lineage: Eukaryota; Metazoa; Chordata; Mammalia; Proboscidea; Elephantidae. The record is from Rfam by way of RNAcentral.
GCUCUGGUGGCACAAUGGUUAACUGCUCAGUUGCUAACUGAAAGGUUGGUAGUUCAAACCUACCCUGAAGCC